CCCAAAACACCAUGUAUUAACUGCAUUAAACACUGUUAAAUGUGACCAAUCAGUCAUUUACCAAGACAGAACUGAGAGCACUCUAUGUGCUGGGCACACAUUAAAAAAAGUAACAAUUUCAAUUUAUCAGAAAGGCCACACAUUCAGUCUUACAGAUGGAAACGUAAACAUCAGUGACUAUUUUGCAAGGACUCUAGACGCAGAGUCAGCACUAAACGGGAAGCGUAAAGACGCCUUUAGCACAAUGCAGAGGGUUCGGCGUUACCCCACCCCUUUCGAUUCACCUGGGACGCACCUGGCCCCAGGCCGGAAGCUCAAGCCCACUUGCCCAGGGCCGCAGCCACACGAUACCCUGGGAAGCGACCACGUGUCUUAUCGCUAUUAA
Molecule: long non-coding RNA, 385 nt
Organism: Coturnix japonica (Japanese quail)
Lineage: Eukaryota; Metazoa; Chordata; Aves; Galliformes; Phasianidae
Source: Ensembl